RNAcentral lists this transfer RNA (88 nucleotides) under Bizionia paragorgiae. It matches the Rfam family "tRNA". From Rfam's summary of the family: Transfer RNA (tRNA) molecules are approximately 80 nucleotides in length. The record is from Rfam by way of RNAcentral. RNAcentral also lists the same sequence under 6 other names. Lineage: Bacteria; Pseudomonadati; Bacteroidota; Flavobacteriia; Flavobacteriales; Flavobacteriaceae.
GGAGAGGUGCCUGAGUGGCCGAAAGGAGCGGUUUGCUAAAUCGUCGUACCCCAAAAGGGUACCCAGGGUUCGAAUCCCUGUCUCUCCG